GACAGAGGUCCCGAGCGUUAGGCGGAAUCACUGGGCUUAAAGCGUGUGUAGGCGGAUUUGUAAGUACCUUGUGAAAUCCCACAGCUUAACUGUGGAACUGCUUGGUAUACUGCUUAUCUAGGGCCACUUAGGGGUUACCGGAACAAACGGUGGAGCGGUGAAAUGCGUAGAUAUCGUUUGGAACGCCAAUGGUGAAAACAGGUAACUGGGAGUGUGCCGACGCUGAGACACGAAAGCCAGGGGAGCGAACGGG
RNAcentral lists this ribosomal RNA (253 nucleotides) under uncultured bacterium. RNAcentral describes it as "partial 16S ribosomal RNA". It matches the Rfam family "Bacterial small subunit ribosomal RNA", at positions 524 to 776 of the family's 1533-position model. The record is from RNAcentral.